AUUGAACGCUGGCGGCAGGCUUCACACAUGCAAGUCGAGCGAGCGGCGGACGGGUGAGUAAUGUCUGGGAAACUGCCUGAUGGAGGGGGAUAACUACUGGAAACGGUAGCUAAUACCGCAUACCAUCAGAUGUGCCCAGAUGGGAUUAGCUAGUAGGUGGGGUAAUGGCUCACCUAGGCGACGAUCCCUAGCUGGUCUGAGAGGAUGACCAGCCAAACGGGAACUGUGACACGGUCCAGACGCCUACGUGAGGCAGCAGUGGGGAAUAUUGGACAAUGGGGGAAAGCCUGAUGCAGCCAUGCCGCGUGUGUGAUGAAGGCCUUCGGGUUGUAAAGCACUUUCGGCGGAGAGGCGUUACUCGCAGAAGAAGCACCGGCUAACUCCGUGCCAGCAGCCGCGGUAAUAC
RNAcentral lists this ribosomal RNA (406 nucleotides) under uncultured bacterium. RNAcentral's name for it is "partial 16S ribosomal RNA". It matches the Rfam family "Bacterial small subunit ribosomal RNA", at positions 30 to 526 of the family's 1533-position model. The record is from RNAcentral.